This 482-nucleotide ribosomal RNA is filed under the name uncultured bacterium. Its description in RNAcentral is "bacterial SSU rRNA". It matches the Rfam family "Bacterial small subunit ribosomal RNA", at positions 38 to 518 of the family's 1533-position model. The record is from RNAcentral.
GGCGGCGUGCCUAACACAUGCAAGUCGAGCGGAGUCGGUAAGAGGAAGUUUCGGAUGGAAUCUUAUUGAUUUAGCGGCGGACGGGUGAGUAACGCGUGAGCGACCAACCUUGCACAGGGGGAUAACGGACCGAAAGGUUCACUAAUACCGCAUGAGACCACGGUGUUGCAUGACACAGAGGUCAAAGGAGCAAUCCGGUGCAAGACGGGCUCGCGUCCGAUUAGGUAGUUGGAGGGUAACGGCCCACCAAGCCUAUGAUCGGUAGCCGACCUGAGAGGGUGAUCGGCCACAUUGGAACUGAGAUACGGUCCAAACUCCUACGGGAGGCAGCAGUGGGGAAUAUUGGGCAAAUGGGGGAAACCCUGACCCAGCAACGCCGCGUGAAGGAAGAAGGUUUUCGGAUUGUAAACUUCUGUCCUUGGUGAAGAGAAGAAGACGGUAGCCAAGGAGGAAGCCCCGGCUAACUACGUGCCAGCAGCCGC